Molecule: ribosomal RNA, 372 nt
Filed under: uncultured prokaryote
Description: bacterial SSU rRNA
Rfam family: Bacterial small subunit ribosomal RNA
Source: RNAcentral
UACGUAGGGUGCGAGCGUUAAUCGGAAUUACUGGGCGUAAAGCGUGCGCAGGCGGAUGUUUAAGUCAGAUGUGAAAUCCCCGGGCUCAACCUGGGAAUGGCAUUUGAAACUGGGCAUCUAGAGUGCGUCAGAGGGGGGUGGAAUUCCACGUGGAGCAGUGAAAUGCGUAGAGAUGUGGAGGAACACCGAUGGCGAAGGCAGCCCCCUGGGAUGACACUGACGCUCAUGCGCGAAAUCGUGGAGAGCAAACAGGAUUAGAUACCCUGGUAGGCCACCCCCUAAACUAUGUCAACUAGUUGUUUGGGACGUAAGUUCUUAGUGACGAAGCUAACGCGUGAAGUGGACCGCCUGGGUAGUACGGCCGCAAGGUUG